AUUAUUCAUGCUGAAAGUGGACUCACUACAAUCAGUGGGACUUGUUCCAUUGAUUUCAGUGGAUCUACUCUCAGCAUGAUUCAGU
This is a non-coding RNA of Podarcis lilfordi (Lilford's wall lizard), 85 nucleotides long. The record is from the annotation of a GenBank genome assembly. NCBI's taxonomy places the organism in Eukaryota, Metazoa, Chordata, Lepidosauria, Squamata, Lacertidae.